Molecule: ribosomal RNA, 498 nt
Filed under: uncultured bacterium
Lineage: Bacteria
Description: partial 16S ribosomal RNA
Rfam family: Bacterial small subunit ribosomal RNA
Source: RNAcentral
GACGAACGCUGGCGGCGUGCCUAACACAUGCAAGUCGAGCGGAGUCAGUAAGAGGAAGUUUUCGGGUGGAAUCUUAUUGAUUUAGCGGCGGACGGGUGAGUAACGCGUGAGCGACCAACCUUGCACAGGGGGAUAACGGACCGAAAGGUUCACUAAUACCGCAUGAGACCACGGUGUUGCAUGACACAGGGGUCAAAGGAGCAAUCCGGUGCAAGACGGGCUCGCGUCCGAUUAGGUAGUUGGAGGGGUAACGGCCCACCUAGCCUAUGAUCGGUAGCCGACCUGAGAGGGUGAUCGGCCACAUUGAAACUGAGAUACGGUCCAAACUCCUACGGGAGGCAGCAGUGGGGAAUAUUGGGCAAUGGGGGAAACCCUGACCCAGCAACGCCGCGUGAAGGAAGAAGGUUUUCGGAUUGUAAACUUCUGUCCUUGGUGAAGAGAAGAAGACGGUAGCCAAGGAGGAAGCCCCGGCUAACUACGUGCCAGCAGCCGCCGUAA